CGCCCGCGCGCCAAUGAGUUCACUUUCUUUCUCUCCCCCGCGCUCCCCCUCUCCCCGCCCGCCGGCCCCUCCAGCCUCCUCCAAGGCGGCGGACCAGGCCGGGCCGGAGUUUUCGGGGUUCAGCCCGCGAGCGGGAGGACCGGGGAGGCGAGGGAGGAGGAAGGCGAGAAGGGCCAGAUCGCGGGAGAGCCCAAUCACGGGGCGAGCUGGACCUGGCUGUGAUCAUUUAUAAUCCUUGACUCCUCCGCUCCGCCACUUGUCAAGAUGACAGGGGUCAUCCGUGAAUAACACUUCACGCUGAUGAAUGGCUCUUGCCGGCUUUCGGCUCUGAUGAGGGGUCUGCCCGCCGCCGAUUGAAAACACUAAUGAACUUACUGCGCCAUUUGAAAUUCACACGCACCAACAAAAUGGGGGGUGGGCAUUUCAGGUCAGCUGAGUCACCCGAGGAGGUGGCAGUGCAAGACACUGCCGGGAAGACGGAUUCCGAGGCAGAAGGGUGUAAUUAAGGAUUUCCACCCCCGGUAGGCGGCCCGUCCUUUGCAGAGCCUCUGAAAAUGACCCGCGCCUUCCUUUCCACAGUGUUCUUUCGUCCGAGACCGAAAAGCGCAAAUGACCUUUGGACAGGGAAGGGAGGCAGUAAACACUCAGACUUCCUUACCAGCCCCUGGUGGGCACUGCAGCAGAACAAUUGUCUGCCCCCCAGGUUCAAGCACCUAGGCCUCCGCCCCGCAUCACCUGGCCAGGGGCGGACCCGGGAGUCCUCCGAAGGCUCCACUCCCCACUUUUACUACUCUUCUUUCCUCUCCAUUCUCCCCUCAGAUUAGCGGCCGGACACUGUCCCUGCCUCGAUUUUGUUUGCUGUGGGAGGGAAAAAAAAAGUUUGCUGCUCCUCCCAAGACACUGGCCACUUUCUACUCACUGAAGUUCCCACCGCAGCGCUGGCUCCCGGCUCCCUAGCUCCCGCCCCCUGUCUGCAGGAAAGCCCUCCCCCGGAGCUUCCGAAACUGCUGGAGGUUCCAGAGUUUUGUAGCUCCGAAUGGGCGACCUGAGCCGAACCGCUCUCUGGCUGGGUGGUCGGCGGGAUCCUUCAGGCUCCUUUCGGGUCCGGGACGGGGCGGCGGCAGAGGUGGGGCGUGCGUGCUUGGGGCUGCCGAGUGAGUGCGGCUCCCUGGUGCGCGCCCGAGCAUCUCCCCGCCCUCUCCUGGGACCAGCAGUCUGCCCGUGGAGGGCUAGGAGCCCGCGACCAGGCCUGCCCCGGCCGUCGCCAACCUGUCCUUGGAAGCGUGGCGGAGACUGGUGCGCUCUCAGCCUCGUCGCGCCAGCCGCCUCGCGCCACCCUCCACUUUCAGCUUCAGAGCAGAGGAUUCCGCCGACCUCCACCUGUACCUGUACUCGGCCGUUAGGAAAUCCACUUGCAUUUUUAACUACCGUGCAGAACCAGAAACAGAUCGAGCACUGGGAGAACAAGGACGACGCCUCCUAGGAAAGCCUGAACCUUUAUGUUAGUUUAUCCAAAGUUUGGGCUAGAAGUGAGGAGAAUCCCUAAACUCGAGGUGGUGUGCCCAGACCCACAGCCCGUGUUCCCGAAGUUGCUAAGUGCCCGAGCGCAGCGCGUUAAGUAGAGAAGUCUUGGUAGUAAGCGAACCCGACCCGGCUCUCGGGGCGCUAGUGACGGAAAGCAGCACGCAUAUCUUUGCGGGAAGAAUCUAGAGUCGCCCUGGGAUAGAUCCAUCUCCUUCUGCCACUGAAUUUCACACUUGAAAAAGAUAAGGUCAUGGGGGCGGAUGAAUGAUAUCCCUCACUCAUUUAGCCAUUCUUAUUAUUAUAUAAAAAAAAGGCUUGUCAAUUAUGAAGGUGUGUCCCAGAUAUUACAUGAAGAUCAUGCAAACUACUUGAAAUUUGAAUCCGGACAUGAUCGUAAGGAAACUCUUUCAUAAAGCACUUUUGUGGCCUAGUUCCCACACACACACAAAAGUAUUAGGUCUUUAAAACUUUUCCAAGUAGUAAGUGAGACUCCCUCUUACUGUCUACGAAUACACAAUAAAGAGAUGAGACACUGCCCCAAUCCUAAAGAGGCCAGAACUGAAGUGCUACAUUGUGUGAGUUAGGGGAUGCUUCUUUUUUCCAGCUCUUUUUUCUAGAAUCCUCAUUACAGCUAACGCUGGUAAUAAAGGUAGGAAAACAAUAGAACUCAUAAAACUUAGAAAUGGUAAUAAAUCUUGGCUCCUGUCUCUAGCCCAGUUCCUUCUUACAUGAGAUUCAAAGUUUUUCAGUAUGCAAUGCUGAACGUUCACACUAUGGUUGCAAAAUAGAAAAAAAUACUCUAGAACUCAUUAAUACGGCCCUGCGCACUCUAUGCCAGGCGUCGCUGGUGGACAAAGCGCGCAGGGGUCCUCCUCUACGUCUGCCUGCGCCUGUAAUCCAGGCAGCUUACGUGUGUUAAAUUUGGGUCUCUCUCUGUCUCUCACACAAAGAAGUUCCAUCAUUUGAGGCCGUUAGGAAAAGCUGAUGUUGUGCAGUGCCAAACUACCACACGCUUCCUCCUUCGGAUGAAUCCCUGGAAAGCAGAGAGGCAGCUCGCUACGUGACCAUCAUGCUUUUUACCUCACUGAGCUGUUGUCAAGAGAGGGCGGGGAUGGCGGGCAGCUCACGUCGUGCCCUCCGCAGCAAUAAAAACUGGAGCGGGAGAAGAAAUGCAAGACAUCGCUGUCUGUUUUGCAAGCCUCUGGCCGCUCUCAGCAAACUCUGCCCGGCGCGGCUGGUGACUUUGCGGUGUGAACGCAGCCGGUCGUGCUCGGGAUAAUGGGACCGAGCUGGCGGCAUCGCCCUCCCGUGGGCCCCUCUUGCCACACAGAUGCGCAGCUCUCCAAAAGGAAAAUGUGGCCCAGCAACCCUCGCCUAGCCCUAGUCCUAGGAAUGCAUGCCUGGGGCCUUUGGAAGCCUCUCAAAGGGCUGGGGGGCGGGGGGGAGGGAUAUAAUGGGCCGAACCUCUGGAUUCAUUUUGGGGAAGAGGAGACAGGUUCUUGCCCCACUACUGAGGCAAGGCCAACAGCACCCUGCCCUGCUGCUCCACCGCCUCCCCGCGGGUCAAGUCUCAGCCGAGUGUCGCUGCCCACCUGAAGGUGACACCUGUCCAUUUUAGUCAGCAUCACAUGCGCCUUCCCUUUCUCCCCUUUGGGGUCUGUCCGUUUUCUCCUCCUGUCCUAAAGAGCCAGCUUGGAACUGAAGGGGCCGGGUAGCAGCUGUUUGUGCCUCUUGCCCGUGCAGACUCGAGGGUCUCCGCAGCCACUUCCUCCUUUAACACGCGAGGCUUUCAGGCGUGCAGAAGGGGACCGCCGGGUCAGGCAGGUAUUAGGCUCUCCAAGGACACUUGUGGACAUCACUGGAGUUUACCUAUUGUUUGGACUUUAUUACAUCUGCUUUAGCAAACGGAGGCAUGAGCGGCCUGUCUGCUGGGUUCAAACCCAGUUGCUGCCCCGGCUGCAACCUCUCCCACUCAAGAGACCCUAGGAACGAUGAGGAACGGGGUAGAAAUGACCAGGGGAGCCAAAUCUCAGGUACCGAGACCUUCCAGCUCACCCCUCAGGCUCAGGAAAGCCAAUAACCCACAUAUGCCCAAAAGGAGCUUAUGUCUCAACUGAGAACAGCAAAUAGGUGAUGGGCCACUUUAGAACAGAGGCUAAAGGCUGGUAGCCACUGAGCAAAACCCAAAUUCUAGGCACCUGAGGUGUUUCCCUUACACAAGUGCCUUCACAGGUAGCAAGCAAUUAAUCUGCAACAGUGAACAACACUAAAACUUAAAUUUUACAUGGAAGUCUCUCAAGUAGACAAAGUUAUUAUUGGGUGGGGUUUUCCCCCCACUGGCAAAAAAAUAACUUAUCCCUUGGCUGUUAGAUUGAGGGAACUAUAAAACAAAUAUUUUAAUUCGAUCACUGACAAAGUCAUAAAAUUCAAUGACUGUUUGUAGAGGAAAACAUGCUUUCAUUAUCUUAAUUAAAGCAAGAUAAGCCUCUCUCAAUGUGCAUGCAUUUUGGAGCCACUGAAUGGACUGGUGAUGAGACGAAGCAACCUUUAAUUGGGACCAUGCUUCUCCAGUACAUUCGUUUGUAUUCCAUGGUGUAAACCGGGCCUUACGCGUGGCUCCGACCUUCGGUGGAAAUGCAUUUGCGUAGCACCACCCAGGGGCUCCCUUGCUUUGGCUAGAGCCUCAUAAAAGACCCCAGGUUUUGCGAAGGAUUUUGAACACCAGCGUCUUUUAACAUGUGGAACUUUCGGUUUUGGUUUAGCUCUGUGAACGUAUUUAAAACUUGCUACAUUAUUCCACAGUGAAAGUUGGAACCUUUUUAAGAGUUAUCAUAGAGUGCCUUUUAACAUCUGUCAUAUUUUCUAUAAACAACUUUUCAGUGAGAAGCGUAUAUAGUGUACUCGAGGUAGGCAUUAGCUGCUGGCAAGGUUUAUGAUACAAUAGUGACACUACAGGACAAUUUUUUAGUCAAACAACACCCGUUAGAUAUUUCAGGGUCCAGCUUAUAUGUUAACUUGUAAAUAUAGGUUAAAAAUAUAGGUAUCAAGUGACUAAAUUCAGUAUCAGACAAAUUGAACAUCUUUUUAUUUCCCAGAAGUGCCCUACUCUUUCUCCUCCCUUUGGUGACCUCUUAGUCUGGAAUGCUCUGCAUCCGGGGCCCCUGGAACACAUAGUUUUUAAAGUACCUAUUAGUGAUACUCUCCUCCCGUUGGCAGUGCUUCCACUGUGUUUUCUGCAUGUAAUAAAGGAUGGCACUGUUUUUUGCAUAGGUCUUUCCUAAUAGCUGAGCACUCUUGGAGUGUAGGGGCUCAACCUUAUGCCUCUUUGGACACACAAGCCUAGCCCAUGGGCUGGCAUAUAGGAGCUGCUCAAUAAAUGUUUGUUGAACGAAUGAGUGGAUACACGAAUAAAAUAUUUUCAUUGUCUUUAGCCCCUCUGACUUUCUUUUUUAAACAGGGGUAUGUCAUAAAUAAAAUUUACCUUGAAAAUGCAUUUAAGUACACUGUUCUACUUCUCUGACCAUGAAGUUUUUAAUGGGACAUCGUUUUAAAAUUCUGGUCAUUACAACGAACCACUUUUGACCUUGGUUGACUUUUCUCAGAAUCAUAAUGCGAAGUAAAGACAAAAACAAUGAGAAAAGGCAAAGAGAUCAAAUUUUGGUUUUCUCUUUUUCAGUAGGAUAUGAUGUUUAUCGAAAUUUGGAAACAAAUUGUAGCAAGCACCUAUAACAUGUAGAUACUCAUGUUUUUAUAUUAAAUAUGACAUUAUUUAUAA
RNAcentral lists this long non-coding RNA (5299 nucleotides) under Homo sapiens (human). RNAcentral describes it as "non-protein coding lnc-DCTD-65:6". Lineage: Eukaryota; Metazoa; Chordata; Mammalia; Primates; Hominidae. The record is from RNAcentral.